CGCUCUUCUUUCCUCGUGGGCAAGAAGCACACCAGCAGCGCGCGUUGCGUGAUUCCACUGUGUUUUUUGCACUUGACUGGGUGGACAGUUGACCGGAAGAUAACCUCAAUUCGCCCGGCCAGCAGGCGGGCGGCGUGCUUAUCUUGUGUGACAACACUACAGAGCGAGUAG
Molecule: ribosomal RNA, 171 nt
Filed under: Triticum aestivum (bread wheat)
Lineage: Eukaryota; Viridiplantae; Streptophyta; Magnoliopsida; Poales; Poaceae
Description: partial small subunit ribosomal RNA
Source: RNAcentral